AGAAAUAGGUAAUUUAAUAAUUGGUCUUGGUGUUUACGUUGUGUAUGUGUUGCAGUACCAAGUCAAAUAACACCAUUAAUUGAUAAUUUUAUUGAAAAAAUAUGUAAAAUGACAUGUAAUAAUAAAGAAAUAUCUGGUUAUAGUUGUGCUCUAUCAGCAAUAAUUGGUUGUGUACUUUUAUCAUCACUUGGUAUACCACAUACAAAAGGUAAAAUAAUAUUUAAUACUGCUGAAAAAUGAUUACGUACAGCAAAUACUCAUAGUCGUCUUGCAUUAAAUAAAAUACAUGCAAGUUGGUUGUUAAUUGGUUCAAUAAUGACACUUGGUACUGGUGUUGUUAAAGGUUUAUGACUAAGAAUGUUAUUAUUAUGAAAAAAUUCAUAUCCAAAAUCACCAGGAAAAUUGGAAAGUGAAAAAUCACGUGGUAAUUUAAAUGCAAAUAACACUUGAAGGUAGAGCUGGUGCAUUGGCACAAGAUAAUUCAUCACCAGUUGUACAAGUAUGGUCAUUAUAUGAAUUAUCAUUAAUUGCUGAUUCUAGUGGUCCAAUCUAUCGUGGCUAUAUUGAACCAACUUUAUCAGUUGUAUUAACAUUAUUGCUAAAUGUAUCAUUUUCAUAUAUUGAUAUUUAUCAAUGUAUUGGUAAAUUAUUAUCAGCACAACAAUUGGUCCUGAAUUACAAGGUACAUACAUCAUCAAUAAGUAUGGCACGUUCAUCAUUUUUAUGUGCAUGUGGUAUAAUGCAACAUCAUGAAAACCCACUUGUACACAAGCUGAAGCAACUGGUUGUUUAUAACAAUUACAUUUAUUUGCACCAAAACAUGUCAAUUUAUCAUCAUUAGUAUCAAAUUUAUGUCGUACUACAUUAAAAUACAGUUCAGCAGCAAUGGAUGAACGUAAAUUAAUACCUGGAAAAGUUGUACUUUGGGAUCAUGAAAUUGCUGUUGAUUGGGCUGAUCCAGUUGAUAAACAAGUCAUGGAAACUGUCCAGGAAGUGUUGCCGCGUAUCAUCAAUGGGAAGUACGUUGGGUAAAAUUAAUUGGUUCAUCAAAAAUGUUGAAAAGACAACGUUCUAUUGAAGAAGCUGUUGCUGCAACCCGUAGUCUUAUCAUGCCACCACAUGACGACAAAAUUUAUUAUGAGAACAACAACAAAAAGCAUCAUACACUGGUUGUAACAAACGUGCAGCAAGAAAAAAAAAUAAAAAAGACACAGAGCUAGUUGUUGCUGAAAACCCAACUGGAUAUAAUCAUAUCCAUAACAUCAACAAAAACGAUGAUGGUUUACAAGAAUUAACAAACUCAAAUGGUCCAGAUGGUAUGAUGAUGCAUCAUGACAUGUCGUAUGAUUAUAAAAAAAUUCUUAAGACAUUUGUAAAUCAAAAUUUCCAGUCACAGUGUCGUUUUGUUAAUAAUAAAAUUUAUGAACCACCUGGU
Aphidius gifuensis is the source of this 1435-nucleotide long non-coding RNA. RefSeq lists it as uncharacterized. NCBI's taxonomy places the organism in Eukaryota, Metazoa, Arthropoda, Insecta, Hymenoptera, Braconidae. The transcript has 3 exons. The record is from RefSeq and is a predicted model, not a curated record.